This 574-nucleotide long non-coding RNA is filed under the name Homo sapiens (human). RNAcentral's name for it is "non-protein coding lnc-PQLC1-17:6". The record is from RNAcentral. Lineage: Eukaryota; Metazoa; Chordata; Mammalia; Primates; Hominidae.
CUUCCGGUAGCGCGCGAGGGCCUGCACGUGGGUCGUGGUUCGACCCGGCGCGCUCUGGUCCGCGGGUGGAAGGGCCUCGCAGCCGUCUCCUGGAAGCUCUGCCGGGGACACGCGUGGGCGCGCGCGGCCUCCUUAGCGGUCCAGAGCCUGCGCUGCCAGUAGUACGCGCGCCCCAUGGCUGUGUGGGGCCCCACGCGCCCUCCUCGCCGCGCGGCUUCUUGCUUCCGCCCCGCGCUUCUCCAGCCUGCCUUCGGUGCCCGCUUCCUGCCCGCGCCCUUGGAACCGCUGGUGUCUGUGCGUUCACAGGCAGGGUCGUGCUACGUGGCCCGGGCCCCCAAAGCGCCGCGACUGCAGGCGCGCCCACCGCGCCGGGCUGAAUUUCCGAGAUGUUCUUGUCCUGCUUCCUCACUGCUGCUUCCUUCUUUCUCUGGUUCUGGGUCUUUAGCUUGAUUCCACAUCCCCCACCUCUAGGCCCACAGCCUGCUGAAAAGUCCUAUAGGCGACUGUCAGAAACGAGGUUUACACCCUCAGUCUACACAAGAAAGCAAAACGAUAUUGAAUAAACGAAUACACG